GCCGGAGGGCGCCUGGGGGCUGGCGCUCCGGACUGGUUAUUUGGGGAAGUGCAUCGCGACACCUUUGCAGAUGGCACGGCCGUGUUUUGCAACGCAGACGGGAGGAGGGAAGACGGCCGGGUGGAGGAGCAGCGCAGAGGCGCCGGGUGACCCAGAAAAUCACAAAGCAAAUCUGGUUGGAGGCUAAAAGGGCUCCAGGAGAGCUGCACAGGAUGCCACGUUGACAUGAGGCGUUUGUGGUGGCGUGGUGUCUCUUCUUUGUCGACUUUGGUCUCUUUCUACACUUGAAGUUCCAUGUGAAUUUCAGAGACAAGCAGAAAACAAGCCAGGAGUACGUGAAAACAGAAACAACUGCUGAACAUGCUCUAGAUGACUCUUUAAAGGAAUAGAGAUAAAUAGUCUGCUUUGUGAGGCUGGGGUGGGGUGGGGGUCUCUCCACAGGUGGAGAUAAAAUACAUUCCACAACAAUAUGGCUUUAUUUUAGUCUUCCAUGGUGAUUCCAGCCAGAAAGUGAUGAAUAUAUAAAACAAGAAGAAGGAGUUUGGGGGAAGGCUUGAAAGCAUCUGGAUUCUGCAUGGGGCAGGGUUUAAUGCUAGGCAGGAAGCUUUUAUCUCCCUUUCAGAUAAACUCAGCUGAACAGACAGGGACUUCAAUGAGUGGUGGACAUAAAGGAAAAGCUCACAUUUGGUCUGGAAUUGUGCAUAUUCAAUUGCUUAUCUUAUCAGAGACCCUGUGAUGUCUGUUGGAAUUUUACUAUUAUGAAGACUCUUUGGGGCCUUUUUGUAAUAUAUUUAAAAAAAAAAAGUGGGAAAAACAAGAUACCAAGAGAAAAGACAUCAUAACAUGCAGCAUUUGGUUGUUGCUGUCAUUGUUGCAUACUCAGGACUUGGG
This is a long non-coding RNA of Lepus europaeus (European hare), 891 nucleotides long. RefSeq lists it as uncharacterized. The record is from RefSeq and is a predicted model, not a curated record. Lineage: Eukaryota; Metazoa; Chordata; Mammalia; Lagomorpha; Leporidae. The transcript has 3 exons.